Molecule: ribosomal RNA, 653 nt
Filed under: uncultured Lachnospiraceae bacterium
Lineage: Bacteria; Bacillati; Bacillota; Clostridia; Lachnospirales; Lachnospiraceae
Description: bacterial SSU rRNA
Rfam family: Bacterial small subunit ribosomal RNA
Source: RNAcentral
UAUUUUGACAGAGACUUCGGUUGAAGUCGUUAUAAUCCUAGUGGCGGACGGGUGAGUAACGCGUGGGUAACCUGCCUCACACUGGGGGAUAACAGUCAGAAAUGACUGCUAAUACCGCAUAAGCGCACGGAGCCGCAUGGCUCAGUGUGAAAAACUCCGGUGGUGUGAGAUGGACCCGCGUUGGAUUAGCCAGUUGGCAGGGUAACGGCCUACCAAAGCGACGAUCCAUAGCCGGCCUGAGAGGGUGGACGGCCACAUUGGGACUGAGACACGGCCCAGACUCCUACGGGAGGCAGCAGUGGGGAAUAUUGCACAAUGGGGGAAACCCUGAUGCAGCGACGCCGCGUGAAGGAAGAAGUAUUUCGGUAUGUAAACUUCUAUCAGCAGGGAAGAAAAUGACGGUACCUGACUAAGAAGCCCCGGCUAACUACGUGCCAGCAGCCGCGGUAAUACGUAGGGGGCAAGCGUUAUCCGGAUUUACUGGGUGUAAAGGGAGCGUAGACGGAGCAGCAAGUCUGAUGUGAAAGGCGGGGGCUCAACCCCCGGACUGCAUUGGAAACUGUUGAUCUUGAGUACCGGAGAGGUAAGCGGAAUUCCUAGUGUAGCGGUGAAAUGCGUAGAUAUUAGGAGGAACACCAGUGGCGAAGGCGGCU